Long non-coding RNA from Apus apus (common swift), 1925 nucleotides. RefSeq lists it as uncharacterized. The record is from RefSeq and is a predicted model, not a curated record. The transcript has 3 exons. NCBI's taxonomy places the organism in Eukaryota, Metazoa, Chordata, Aves, Apodiformes, Apodidae.
GAGAGUCCUAAACAGAGAACAUGCAGGCGUUUAAAAAGCAAAACCAUCAAGAACUGCAGAGAAAAACAUGGAGACAUAAAUUUUGCCCUUAAUUGCAGAUCUGCACAGGUGGGGGAAGUGAGAAGAGCUUGGAACACAUGACUUUUGACAGACCAAGUUAAGAUAAUGUACAUUCUUUUUUUCUCAGCUCUGUUACCAGGAGUGUAAAUCAAACCAUACCCUGCUAUUCAGAAUCCAGCAAGUACUCCCCAAGGGUCAUCACAAAUUUAAAAGAUGGCAUGCUUUGGGCUAAACUACUACCCCACCUUCUAAUCCUUCAACAUUAGCAUUGAAAUGAAGGCAGAACUAAGAAACUAGAUGAAGUAAGAUACAAGAGGAAAGGAGGAGUAAGAACGUGCUAAUAUGCAAUCACACAGGACCAUAGAAUGACACUUUGUUAAUUAAACACCCUUUAUAUGAUUCAAUGCUACAUAAUGGAGAAAAUACCAACCCUGUUGGUAUUCUAGGAUGCUUCAGGAAAACCAAAACAAUGUGUCCAAAAUCACAUACAGUGAAAAAGUGUCAUAGAUCUUCAGAUCACAAGAAAGCAAUACAACAGGAAGAGAACAGACACUGAAAGUGGAAGUGACCAGUGAAGCUAAAAGUGGACUCGCAAUACUUCUCAAGCAGACAUUUGAUAACAGAAAGAUAAAUGUACAUGAGAGUUCUGUGGAUUGCUGGUAAUACUGAUGAAGCAAUGACCAACUGGCGGGGACAGGACAGGAGGAUGGACACACGACACACUAGAAGCUGAAAAUUUAAGUCUUAAACCUUGUUAGUCCAAAAAUUUGAAGAGUGUGUGGAGAGGGAAGGAAGAAGGCAAAAACAAGCAAGUAUGUAAGUACUCACCCGAAGAUAACUGUUUUUGAACUAGUAAAGAAAAACUUGUUUGCCAUGAAAAAAACUAGUGAUCUCAUACACUCUAUAAAUGAAAAUGGUCAUUAAUCACAAUAUUACAUAGUUGCACAUCAUCUGACACAGUAAUUUUAGGUAACUAUUUAAAAAAAAAAAAAAAAAAAAUCCUUACCUCAGUUGUUUUGCAUAGUUUUGCUCAAUUUCUAUCCUUUCUUUAACAAAUUUUGCAUAUUUCUCCAAGAAGUCAAUGCCCCACUGUGUGUGCUUGUCCAGGUUAUCAAACUGAUCCUUUAAAAACAAAAGGCAACAAAAAUACCAAGAAUUAGUUAAUAAUCAUAGUAGAACCAGAAACUACAUAAAAUUUGAGUUGUGCUGUGGAGGAAUGCUUGCUACCUGUAUAGAAGUUAUUCCAGUUAUAAAUCACUUGUGUGUGUGGGUAUAUAUAUAGACCUGCCAUAUACCAAAACAGUAAGCUGUCCUUACAGGCACAUAUCUACCUCUUUCUGUAAAAACAGCUCCAAAUACCUGCAUUUUAAGUUUUACACAGUUUCUGAUCAAUUUCCCAAUGCAAGUGUGUCUUUUUUAUCCCCUGAAUCCUUUAAUUCAGAAGUGGAUCAUUUCCACCAAGAUAAUAAAGACAUAACUGAAGAUGAGUAUUAGGUAAAUAAGAGAGCGUUCAACAGAAAUUAUGUGCUUGGUAGUUUAAAACAGAAGUAGUUGUAAUUGCAUUGGAUUAAAAAAAAAGUUACUUCUACUCUUACAAUUAUCCACUCAAAGAAAAAUAAUAUUAAUUAUAGCUGCAUAACUAAGUUGGGUAUACUCUGCAUAUGAACAACAUUCAUUAAAGAAAAUCCAUAUAAACAGUUCAGAAUCAGCUCUACCAAGAGAUUCCAAAGACAGCAAACCUGUCCUUAGCCAUUAAGAACGUUAUAGCAAAGCAAAGGCACAAAACAAAAAGAGAAAUGCUCUAAAAUAAACCACGCUUCCAAAAACAGUUGGGGAAUUUUAAAUAAAUUAAAUCAUCUUAAAAA